Molecule: ribosomal RNA, 440 nt
Filed under: uncultured bacterium
Lineage: Bacteria
Description: partial 16S ribosomal RNA
Rfam family: Bacterial small subunit ribosomal RNA
Source: RNAcentral
CCUACGGGCGGCAGCAGUAAGGAAUAUUGGUCAAUGGGCGAAAGUCUGAACCAGCAAAGCCGCGUGAAGGAUGACGGCUUUCUGAGUUGAAACUCCCUUUUUUAGAGGAGAAAAUGACGGUAGCUAGCGUAUAUGCACCGGCUAACUCCGUGCCAGCAGCCGCAGUACGACGGAGGGUGCAAGCGUUACUCGGAUUCACUGGGCGUAAAGGGAGCGUAGGCGGGAUAUCAAGUCAGAUGUGAAAUCCUACGGCUCAACCAUAGAACUGCAAUUGAAACUGUCAGUCUAGAGUAUGGUAGAGGUAGGCGGAAUUCGUGGUGUAGGGGUAAAAUCCGUAGAGAUCACGAAGAACACUGAUUGCGAAGGCAACCUGCUAGACCAUAACUGACACUGAUGCGCGAAAGUGUGGGGAGCAAACAGGAUUAGAUACCCGUGUAGUC